This 29-nucleotide non-coding RNA is filed under the name Mus musculus (house mouse). Lineage: Eukaryota; Metazoa; Chordata; Mammalia; Rodentia; Muridae. The record is from RNAcentral.
UGGCAUGGCACACCAUUCACAGGGCAUCA